This 253-nucleotide ribosomal RNA is filed under the name uncultured prokaryote. Its description in RNAcentral is "partial 16S ribosomal RNA". It matches the Rfam family "Bacterial small subunit ribosomal RNA", at positions 525 to 777 of the family's 1533-position model. The record is from RNAcentral.
ACGUAGGUGGCAAGCGUUGUCCGGAAUCACUGGGCGUAAAGCGCGCGCAGGCGGCGAUCUACGUCUGGGGUGAAAGCCCGGAGCUCAACUCCGGGACUGCCUUGGAUACGGGAUCGCUUGAGGAUUGGAGAGGCAAGGGGAAUUCCACGUGUAGCGGUGAAAUGCGUAGAUAUGUGGAGGAACACCGGUGGCGAAGGCGGCUUCCUGGACCGACACUGACGCUGAGGCGCGAAAGCCAGGGGAGCAAACGGGA